AUACGGAGGGGGCUAGCGUUGUUCGGAAUUACUGGGCGUAAAGCGUACGUAGGCGGACUGAUCAGUUGGGGGUGAAAUCCCAGGGCUUAACCCUGGAACUGCCUUCAAUACUGUCAGUCUUGAGAUUGGAAGAGGUGAGUGGAAUUCCUAGUGUAGAGGUGAAAUUCAUAGAUAUUAGGAGGAACACCAGUGGCGAAGGCGGCUCACUGGUCCAAUACUGACGCUGAGGUACGAAAGCGUGGGGAGCAAACAGGAUUAGAUACCCGUGUAGUCC
This 274-nucleotide ribosomal RNA is filed under the name uncultured bacterium. Its description in RNAcentral is "partial 16S ribosomal RNA". It matches the Rfam family "Bacterial small subunit ribosomal RNA", at positions 523 to 796 of the family's 1533-position model. The record is from RNAcentral.